ACAUGCAAGUCGAGCGCGGGAAGCAGAUGGAAUCCUUCGGGAGGAAAUCUGUGGAACGAGCGGCGGACGGGUGAGUAACACGUGGGUAACCUGCCUGUAAGACUGGGAUAACUCGCGGAAACGUGAGCUAAUACCGGAUGAAACUUCUUAUCACCUGAUGAGAAGAUGAAAGGCGGCUUCGGCUGCCACUUACAGAUGGACCCGCGGCGCAUUAGCUAGUUGGUGAGAUAAUGGCUCACCAAGGCGACGAUGCGUAGCCGACCUGAGAGGGUGAUCGGCCACACUGGGACUGAGACACGGCCCAGACUCCUACGGGAGGCAGCAGUAGGGAAUCUUCCGCAAUGGACGAAAGUCUGACGGAGCAACGCCGCGUGAGUGAUGAAGGUUUUCGGAUCGUAAAACUCUGUUGUUAGGGAAGAACAAGUACCGUUCGAAUAGGGCGGUACCUUGACGGUACUUAACCAGAAAGCCCCGGCUAACUACGUGCCAGCAGCCGCGGUAAUACGUAGGGGGCAAGCGUUGUCCGGAAUUAUUGGGCGUAAAGCGCUCGCAGGCGGCCUUUUAAGUCUGAUGUGAAAGCCCACGGCUCAACCGUGGAGGGUCAUUGGAAACUGAAGGGCUUGAGUACAGAAGAGGAGAGUGGAAUUCCACGUGUAGCGGUGAAAUGCGUAGAUAUGUGGAGGAACACCAGUGGCGAAGGCGACUCUCUGGUCUGUAACUGACGCUGAGGAGCGAAAGCGUGGGGAGCGAACAGGAUUAGAUACCCUGGUAGUCCACGCCGUAAACGAUGAGUGCUAGGUGUUAAGGGGUUUCCGCCCCUUAGUGCUGAAGUUAACGCAUUAAGCACUCCGCCUGGGGAGUACGGCCGCAAGGCUGAAACUCAAAAGAAUUGACGGGGGCCCGCACAAGCGGUGGAGCAUGUGGUUUAAUUCGAAGCAACGCGAAGAACCUUACCAGGUCUUGACAUCCUCUGCUAGCGGUAGAGAUACCGUGUUCCCUUCGGGGACAGAGUGACAGGUGGUGCAUGGUUGUCGUCAGCUCGUGUCGUGAGAUGUUGGGUUAAGUCCCGUAACGAGCGCAACCCUUGAUCUUAGUUGCCAGCAUUUAGUUGGGCACUCUAAGGUGACUGCCGGUGACAAACCGGA
This 1145-nucleotide ribosomal RNA is filed under the name Virgibacillus sp. 304B4_12AMannit. RNAcentral describes it as "bacterial SSU rRNA". It matches the Rfam family "Bacterial small subunit ribosomal RNA", at positions 53 to 1167 of the family's 1533-position model. The record is from RNAcentral. Lineage: Bacteria; Bacillati; Bacillota; Bacilli; Caryophanales; Bacillaceae.